This is a long non-coding RNA of Nycticebus coucang (slow loris), 2376 nucleotides long. RefSeq lists it as uncharacterized. NCBI's taxonomy places the organism in Eukaryota, Metazoa, Chordata, Mammalia, Primates, Lorisidae. The transcript is spliced from 3 exons. The record is from RefSeq and is a predicted model, not a curated record.
CUGAGACCCACUCGAAGGCUUGAUGAAUUUCUUUGCACUUGUGUAUCUGGUUUGACUUUGGCACCUUCCUUCAGACCUGAUGUUUGGUAUUCCUACUCCAGAUCUACACACCAUAAUUUCAUGUGUUUCUGAUCAGAGCUGCCAUUCAUUAACUUUGCCAGAAGGAACAGCCAGUAUCAUACCACCACAUUUCACCAAGUUGCCUAAAGCUGUCCACAAGCAAAAGUCCCAAGAGUAUCUAGACACCAAGUGAUAUGCUGCAUACGUUCAUAAAUGGCAAUUCUCCCAUGGCAUAUCAAAGAAAGGUAGAUGCCAGAAGAGAGAUUCUUGAUUAUCAGAUCAGAAAACUUAAAUAUUGUAGGACACAUGAGAGACUUCAAGUUGGAAUGACAUAGCAGCAGGACUCAUCACUUAUACCAGAAGGCAUCCUAAUCUGCACCUGAAGAAGUGAUCUGGAUUCUAACCAGAGAUUUGAAUAUAAGAAGACUGCAAAGAAAACGGGGUUGUGGGUGGAAGGAAAGAAGAUCUUUUGAAAAUAUCUAGAGGAUUUAAUUUAUUUUGAAAGAAGUGAUUGAAUUGAUAGAAGGGGGUAGUAGUUUUAAAUGUUAAAGCGUGAACUAUACUUGAUAUUUUACAUUAAUGUCAUAUGCUAUUUUGUUUUGGUGUUACUCUUUAGAGUACAAAAUGUAUAAACUUUCUACUGAGCUUGCUUGGAUGAGAUUGUAUUGUUAAAUAUAAGGCGAAAUAUUAAUAUCAAAAUUAAUAUUUUAUGUUGAUGUUAUUGUACUAACUAUAAUAAUAUUCAUAUUCUAAACAACGUAUACUUGGAUGAGAUUUGUGGGAAGGGAGAAUUAUUUAUAUGGUUAGAUGUAAGAGGGUAAUAAUUGUAGCAUUUUAAGGUGAUGCUGUUAUUUACAGUGUAAUGAUGCUUGUUAAAUGUAUUUACAUUAUCAUUUAAUAUUGGUAGAUUGACAGGGGGAUAUAUUUAGUACCUAUACCAGUAUCUGUUAAUAGAAAACAUAUACAAAAUACUUAUUGAUUGAAUUAAUGAUUAACAAAUUAUUAUUAUUAUUUCUUUAGGUACAGGGUUUUCCUCUAUCAGCAAUGUAAUGGCACAAUCAUAGCUCACUACCUCCUUAAGCUCCUGGGAUCAAGCAAUCUUCCUGCCCUAACCACCUGAGUACUUUGGACAACAGGUGUGUGCUACUAGGCCUGGUUGAUUUUUUCUUAUUUUUUUAGUGACCAAGUCUCACUAUGUUGCCUAGGCUAUAUAAACUCCUGGCCUGAAGGCAUCCUCUGCCUCAGCCUCCUGAGUUACUGAAAUUACAAGCAUGAUCUGCUGUGCCCGGAUCAAUUGAUUGAUUAUUUAUCUGAUAUUUCCUUUCUGCUUAUUCAUGGAAAGCCAAUUAGAGUUUUCCAUAUAAGUGAUAGGAAUUUGGGGGGAAAUUUGGGUGUAUAGGAUAUGAAAUUCGGAACUGUGAAUCAGAGAGAAACCUAUAUUAAAAUAUAAUAAUUUGAUAGAAGCCAAGAAAAGACUGGUAGGACAUGAAAGGUCACACUGCAGUUUGGUGGCCAUUUUUCUUGAAGCUCAGUGGUUUGGGACCAGAGAUAGCUUCUGCAGUCGCAAGCGACAGGCAGUGGCUUGGUUGGCAGCAAGUACUUGCAGCAUUCACUCGUAGUUACCAUGAAUUUACCCCUCAAUCUCAAACCUUUCCUCAAUGGAUUGACAGGAAAACCUGUACCAACAAGUAACCUCUCCCUGUCUUGACAGAUUUCCACAUAGUACUCUAUGAAUAGAGAUCUUGAAUGGCCUCCUUCUAUCAGGGCCAGGUCUGGGAGUGUGUACAAAACACUUCCAGAUGUCACUCCUCACAGACACCCGACUACUCUUUACUUCAUAUACAGUCUUUGAGAAGGUCAAGAGCUCCCCCAUGGCCUAGAUUGCCCAGAUUUCUAGUGGGAAUGUGUAUUACAGAGACAGUUUCUCCCUUUUUUCACUUUGAAUCCUCACAGUUUUCCUGCACUGGGGACUAUUGCCAGCUGUAUUAUGAACAUAUCUAAAGUUUCUUUCACAUUUUCGUUGAGCUUCCAAGUUCCUUCUUGGAUACGUGUUCAGAGUGUGAAUCUCUAUACACUAUUUUGUUAUUUCUGAAUGGAUCAGGCACACUAACCUUCUAACCCACCAUAUUGUAAAAAGAAAAGUAAUUGUACUAUAUUUUAAAAUCAGGUAGUGUGAUGUCUUCAGAUUUAUUCAUUUUGCUAAGGAUUACUUGAUUAUUUGGGCUUUUUCAAGGAUUUAUACAAAUUUUAGGAUUGUUGUUUUAUUCCUGUGAAGAUUGUCAAAUAUUGUCAAAUAUAUAUAUGUUUGACAUUGCA